GACACUAAACUUAAAGAAAUAAAAAAUUAUUAUAAAAGUACCUAUGAAAAAUUACAUCUAAAAUUUAGAUACUUUUUAAGAACUGGACAAAUUCUAAGAAAGGUUCAAAUUAGCAAAAAUGAGUCAAGGAGAUAUAUAAAAUCUUAUCAAGUAAAGAGAUUAAGUUAGUAAUCAAAACUACCACCUCAGGAAACAAUGACAACAGCAACAAAAUCUUCUAGCCAAGAAUGCCUCUACCAAACAUUCAAAGUUGAAUUAAUACUGUUCAAAGUAGAGAUGUAGUUGACAUGAAGGGAUGUCUGCCUAGUUCACAAAAGUAUGACCAUGAAAAUAUCAUUUCUAUGAUACUCCCUCGUUAUGGGAGCUUGAUGCUCAGAGAAGAGGGAAUGAGAGAGGUAGCAUUGACUAUUUAAAAUCCGUCCUGAGGUCAGACCCACAAAUGCAUUUUCUGUUAUUUUAUUUCAAUACUGAUAAAACUUAGUUCUUUUUUUCUAUUUCAAUUGAAAUAACACGUGUAAAGAACCACAAAAGUACCCCAUUUCCCCUUGCAAAUGUAUUGUUCGUAGGCCUAGAGGUUUUUUUUUCUUGUCCAAUCAGAACAUGUAAUCCAGGAACUGCAUUUGCAUAACCUCUUAUGCUGAGGUCAUGUCAGGUCAUUUCAGGCUCUUCUGUGUCGAGCGGAGGAGCUACUCUGUGCCCAGCUUAGAGGACUGGAAGAGGCCGCAACCUUCCACCUGCUGGAGGUUGGAAGAUGGAUGGAGGCUGGAGGAUGGAUGGAGCCUGGAGCCUGGAGCCUGGGUCACUACCUCGCUACGGUUGGUGGUGGCGAUAGAGCAGUAGGAGGGCGGCGGGCAGCAGGAGCUUCUGCUGGGCUGGAGAACUAGAAGGAAGAGGCACUGCCACAUGCUGGAGGCUGGAACCUGUGCCAUCAUGGCUCGCCUCGCUGUGAUUGUCAGUGAUGUCGGAGACUGCAGCUCAGCCACAGUGGUAGAAAUGUGAUGGGGUAGGUGAGUUUCCGUGCCUGCCCUGUACGCCUCUGGGGGCAAGGGUUGGGUGUCCUAUUGGGGCUCACUGCUAGAGGCUACCCUGCCUGUGGCAGUGGUCUGGUUGGGGGCACUCUCUGGUGUUGCAUUGCUGGCUGUGGGGCAGGUUGGCUGGCUAUCUGGGGCUAUACUGCCCGUGGUGGCAGGGGUGGUGGGGGGAGGCAGAUUGUGUACACUAGCGUGUAUUGCCGGCGGCUGGUGAAGGAUUAGGGGUGCUAUCUUCUGCUGCACUGCCUGCGGCAGGGGGUGGGUUGGGUGGAGUUAUCUGGGGCUACAAUGCUGGCAGUUGGGGGUGGUUUAGGGGCGUUGUUGGGUGCUGCACUGCCUGUGACUGGGGGGUGCACCAUCAGGAGAUGAACUG
This 1404-nucleotide long non-coding RNA is filed under the name Homo sapiens (human). RNAcentral's name for it is "non-protein coding lnc-FAM182B-13:3". Lineage: Eukaryota; Metazoa; Chordata; Mammalia; Primates; Hominidae. The record is from RNAcentral.